GAGAGCCGAAGAUUGAAGCUUGAAGAAGUCCAGCGUUUCAGAUCAGAUGAGGAGCACUGGCUGGUAAAUGAAGAAGGAGAAGGAGCAACUGAAGAGGCAGUAGACAAUCCAAACGGAUCUAGUAUCAUGGAAACCAAGUCAGUGGAGGAUCUACUGGAGUGGCAUGGUCAGCUUUGUUGUGCUUUGAUAAGAGGGUCAACUCAGAUUCUCCAAGAAGCAGGCACCAAGACAGAAUUAGAUGUGAAAGAAAUACACUCAGAGAAAUGCUCUUGAAGGAUAAAGACGCCAAGGAGCAAGAGGAACUGUAAAAACCUCCAGAUCAUGUUGCUGUUUUCAAUAGUUCUUUAUAUAGAACUAAAUGAAAUUGUCUGAGUUUUGACAAUUAUAAUAUUUUAUUUCUGAUUAAUCAGAAAAUAGUUUGCCAUAAAAAUUUAUCACUUCUGAUAUUAGCACAUAAAUUUGUUUUUAUUGUAAUUUCAAAACUAAUGUCAAGACUGAGCAAAUCAUAAGAUGGAAGCACCUGUGAGUGCCUGGGACCCUCAAGAUCAUCAAAUCCAGCUUUCCCUGCAGAGAUGGUCUUUCAACUUUUGCCUGAACAUCAUCCUUGUGAGGGAAAUCGUUUCAUCACAAAGCAAUCCAGUUUACUACUGGAACACUGCAAUUAUUUGAAGCAAAACAUCUGGAUCUACUGGAUAACACUGCUCACCAACACUGGUCAUCUUUGUCUUUACCCAAGGCAAGUAUGCCACCUUAUAAAGGACUUUGCACUGGACAUGAUGGUUUACACCCUACUCGAGAGGCUGAAGUGGGAAGAUCAUUUGAGCCCAGGGGUUCAAGACUGCAGUAAGCUAUACUCAUUCCACUGCACUCCAGCCGGGGUGACAGAGUGAGAUCCCCAAUAAUAAUAACAAAUAAAUAAUAAAGGAGUUUGCUUCUGUU
Molecule: long non-coding RNA, 939 nt
Filed under: Homo sapiens (human)
Lineage: Eukaryota; Metazoa; Chordata; Mammalia; Primates; Hominidae
Description: long independently transcribed non-coding RNA 2524 (LINC02524)
Source: RNAcentral